This is a long non-coding RNA of Photinus pyralis (common eastern firefly), 361 nucleotides long. RefSeq lists it as uncharacterized. NCBI's taxonomy places the organism in Eukaryota, Metazoa, Arthropoda, Insecta, Coleoptera, Lampyridae. The transcript is spliced from 2 exons. The record is from RefSeq and is a predicted model, not a curated record.
AAUUUUUUUGUGCGCAGGUAUAUAAAUGGAAGAUUGCAACAAUAAUCAUAUUUUAUGUUCUUCCAGCACCAAGCGAACAUGAACUACAUUUUGGGAGUCCUCGUCGUCUUUGCGCUCUGCUACAGUGCGGCCGCACAACAUCCUUGCGAUCUGCAAGGAAGGAGACACCAAUGUGACUGCGGCGUCAUCGGUGAGGUAUACUGGACUGGAAUGGCACAGAUUUGCGAAUUUAGGUGUAGAGACAUGUACGGCAGAAUCUAUACGUGCGACGAAAUAAAUGUGAUGUAGUGAUGAUCGUAGCAAUAUUAAGUACCACUUUGUCAAAUACGCAGACUGUUUCAAUAAAAUGAUUAUAAACCAA